GCAAGUCGAGCGGACAGAAGGGAGCUUGCUCCCGGAUGUUAGCGGCGGACGGGUGAGUAACACGUGGGUAACCUGCCUGUAAGACUGGGAUAACUCCGGGAAACCGGAGCUAAUACCGGAUAGUUCCUUGAACCGCAUGGUUCAAGGAUGAAAGACGGUUUCGGCUGUCACUUACAGAUGGACCCGCGGCGCAUUAGCUAGUUGGUGAGGUAACGGCUCACCAAGGCGACGAUGCGUAGCCGACCUGAGAGGGUGAUCGGCCACACUGGGACUGAGACACGGCCCAGACUCCUACGGGAGGCAGCAGUAGGGAAUCUUCCGCAAUGGACGAAAGUCUGACGGAGCAACGCCGCGUGAGUGAUGAAGGUUUUCGGAUCGUAAAGCUCUGUUGUUAGGGAAGAACAAGUGCAAGAGUAACUGCUUGCACCUUGACGGUACCUAACCAGAAAGCCACGGCUAACUACGUGCCAGCAGCCGCGGUAAUACGUAGGUGGCAAGCGUUGUCCGGAAUUAUUGGGCGUAAAGGGCUCGCAGGCGGUUUCUUAAGUCUGAUGUGAAAGCCCCCGGCUCAACCGGGGAGGGUCAUUGGAAACUGGGAAACUUGAGUGCAGAAGAGGAGAGUGGAAUUCCACGUGUAGCGGUGAAAUGCGUAGAGAUGUGGAGGAACACCAGUGGCGAAGGCGACUCUCUGGUCUGUAACUGACGCUGAGGAGCGAAAGCGUGGGGAGCGAACAGGAUUAGAUACCCUGGUAGUCCACGCCGUAAACGAUGAGUGCUAAG
Molecule: ribosomal RNA, 780 nt
Filed under: Bacillus sp. xn31
Lineage: Bacteria; Bacillati; Bacillota; Bacilli; Caryophanales; Bacillaceae
Description: bacterial SSU rRNA
Rfam family: Bacterial small subunit ribosomal RNA
Source: RNAcentral